AUAAUACUCCAUAGAUUAGAGACACUGGAGUGUUCUUUAGUCGAAAGUUCUGGCGCCUUAGGAUGGAUCUGCGGUCGAUUAGGUUGUUGUUGGGGUAACGGCCCAACAAGCCUGUAAUCGAUACGGGUUGUGGGAGCAAGAGCCCGGAGAUGGAAUCUGAGACACGAUUCCAGGCCCUACGGGGCGCAGCAGGCGCGAAAACUUUACAAUGCAGGAAACUGUGAUAAGGGAACCCCGAGUGCCCGUAUACGCGGGCUGUCCAGGUGUUUAAAAGUCAUCUGAAGAAAGGGCCGGGCAAGACCGGUGCCAGCCGCCGCGGUAAUACGGGCGGCUCGAGUGGUGGCCACUAUUAUUGGGCUUAAAGCGUCCGUAGCUGGACUGAUAAGUCUCUUGGGAAAUCCGCCGGCUCAACCGGCGGGCGUCUAAGGGAUACUGUUGGUCUAGGGACCGGGAGAGGUGAGAGGUACUCCGGGGGUAGGAGUGAAAUCCUGUAAUCCCCGGGGGACCACCGAUGGCGAAGGCAUCUCACCAGAACGGCUCCGACAGUGAGGGACGAAAGCUGGGGGAGCGAACCGGAUUAGAUACCCGGGUAGUCCCAGCCGUAAACUAUGCGCGUUAGGUGU
RNAcentral lists this ribosomal RNA (623 nucleotides) under uncultured archaeon. RNAcentral's name for it is "bacterial SSU rRNA". It matches the Rfam family "Archaeal small subunit ribosomal RNA", at positions 146 to 774 of the family's 1478-position model. The record is from RNAcentral.